Molecule: ribosomal RNA, 440 nt
Filed under: uncultured bacterium
Lineage: Bacteria
Description: partial 16S ribosomal RNA
Rfam family: Bacterial small subunit ribosomal RNA
Source: RNAcentral
CCUACGGGUGGCAGCAGUAGGGAAUAUUGCUCAAUGGGGGAAACCCUGAAGCAGCAACGCCGCGUGGAGGAUGAAGGUUUUCGGAUUGUAAACUCCUUUUGUUAGAGAAGACAAUGACGGUACCUAACGAAUAAUCACCGGCCAAAUCCGUGCCAGCAGCCGCGGUAAUACGGAGGGCGCAAGCGUUAUUCGGAAUCACUGGGCGUAAAGGGCGCGUAGGCGGGAUAGCAAGUCAGAUGUGAAAUCCUAUGGCUUAACCAUAGAACUGCAUUUGAAACUGUUAUUCUAGAGUAUGGGAGAGGUAGGUGGAAUUCUUGGUGUAGAGGUGAAAUCCGUAGAGAUCAGGAGGAAUACUCAUUGCGAAGGCGGCCUGCUAGAACGUAACUGACGCUGAUGCGCGAAAGCGUGGGGAGCAAACAGGAUUAGAUACCCGAGUAGUC